This 86-nucleotide ribosomal RNA is filed under the name Pratylenchus coffeae. Its description in RNAcentral is "partial 28S ribosomal RNA". It matches the Rfam family "Eukaryotic large subunit ribosomal RNA", at positions 13 to 98 of the family's 3401-position model. Lineage: Eukaryota; Metazoa; Nematoda; Chromadorea; Rhabditida; Pratylenchidae. The record is from RNAcentral.
AGACGUGAAUACCCGCUGAACUUAAGCAUAUCAGUAAGCGGAGGAAAAGAAACUAACAAGGAUUCCCUUAGUAACGGCGAGUGAAA